Molecule: ribosomal RNA, 253 nt
Filed under: uncultured bacterium
Lineage: Bacteria
Description: partial 16S ribosomal RNA
Rfam family: Bacterial small subunit ribosomal RNA
Source: RNAcentral
UACGAAGGGUGCAAACGUUGCUCGGAAUUAUUGGGCGUAAAGCGCACGUAGGCGGCAUUGCAAGUCGGAUGUGAAAUCUUAUGGCUUAACCAUAAAAGUGCAUCCGAAACUGCAGUGCUUGAGUACUUAAGAGGAUCGCGGAAUUCCCGGUGUAGAGGUGAAAUUCGUAGAUAUCGGGAGGAACACCAGUGGCGAAGGCGGCGACCUGGACGGACACUGACGCUGAGACGCGAAAGCGUGGGGAGCAAACAGG